CGCACAUUGCGCCCUUUGGCAUUCCGAAGGGCAUGCCUGUUCGAGCGUCAUUAUCAACCCUCAAGCCUGGCUUGGUGUUGGGCAACGGUGGCCACUCACCUGCCCCAAAGACAAUGACGGCGUCCGUGAGACCCCCCGGUACAACGAGCUUUUCAUAAGGCACAUACUGUGGUGGGCUCGGGGACCCGGUCUUCCAUUUCUUUCUCAGGUUGACCUCGGAUCAGGUAGGGAUACCCGCUGAACUUAA
Molecule: unclassified non-coding RNA, 247 nt
Filed under: Exophiala sp.
Lineage: Eukaryota; Fungi; Ascomycota; Eurotiomycetes; Chaetothyriales; Herpotrichiellaceae
Description: partial contains 5.8S ribosomal RNA, internal transcribed spacer 2, and large subunit ribosomal RNA
Source: RNAcentral